Molecule: ribosomal RNA, 452 nt
Filed under: Psammetichus sp. 5 DM-2023a
Lineage: Eukaryota; Metazoa; Arthropoda; Insecta; Coleoptera; Tenebrionidae
Description: partial large subunit ribosomal RNA
Rfam family: Bacterial large subunit ribosomal RNA
Source: RNAcentral
AAAAACAUGUCCUUUUGUUUAUGAUUUAAGGUCUGACCUGCCCAAUGAUUAUUUAAAUGGCCGCAGUAUUUUGACUGUGCAAAGGUAGCAUAAUCAUUAGUUUUUUAAAUGGAAGCUGGUAUGAAUGGUUUGAUGAGAAAAUGACUGUCUCAACGUAAUUGGUUUUGAAUUUUAAUUUUAAGUUAAAAAGCUUAAAUGCUAUAGAAAGACGAGAAGACCCUAUAGAGUUUUAUUUUUUACUUAAUAUGUUUUUUUUGGGUUUUAAUAUUACUUAUUAUUUAAGGAAUUUUGUUGGGGUGAUAUAAAAAUUGAGUUAACUUUUUAUUUAUUUUUACAUUUAUUUAUGAGUUUUUGAUCCUUUGUUUAAGAUUAAAAGAUUAAAUUACCUUAGGGAUAACAGCGUAAUUUUUUUGGAGAGUUCUUAUCGAUAAGAAAGUUUGCGACCUCGAUGU